RNAcentral lists this ribosomal RNA (498 nucleotides) under uncultured bacterium. Its description in RNAcentral is "bacterial SSU rRNA". It matches the Rfam family "Bacterial small subunit ribosomal RNA", at positions 899 to 1397 of the family's 1533-position model. The record is from RNAcentral.
ACUCAAAUGAAUAGACGGGGGCCCGCACAAGCGGUGGAGUAUGUGGAUUAAUUCGAAGCUACGCGAAGAACCUUACCAAGGUUUGACAUCCCUUUGACCGGGUUAGAGAUAGCCCUUUCCUUCGGGACAAAGGAGACAGGUGGUGCAUGGUUGUCGUCAGCUCGUGUCGUGAGAUGUUGGGUUAAGUCCCGCAACGAGCGCAACCCUUAUUUUUAGUAGCCAUCGGGUAAUGCCGGGCACACUAGAGAGACUGCCGUGGAUAACACGGAGGAAGGUGGGGAUGAGGUCAAAUCAUCAUGCCCCUUAUAUCUUGGGCUUCACACGUACUACAAUGGCUCAUACAAAGUGAUGCAAAGCUGCAAGGCGGAGCAAAACACAAAAAGGAGCCUCAGUUCGGAUUGCAGGCUGCAACUCGCCUGCAUGAAGUCGGAAUCGCUAGUAAUCGCGAAUCAGCAUGUCGCGGUGAAUACGUUCCCGGGCCUUGUACACACCGCCCGU